CCUACGGGUGGCUGCAGUGAGGAAUAUUGGUCAAUGGGCGUAAGCCUGAACCAGCCAAGUCGCGUGAGGGAUGAAGGUUCUAUGGAUCGUAAACCUCUUUUAUAAGGGAAUAAAGUGUGGGACGUGUCCUAUUUUUUAUGUACCUUAUGAAUAAGGAUCGGCUAACUCCGUGCCAGCAGCCGCGGUAAUACGGAGGAUCCGAGCGUUAUCCGGAUUUAUUGGGUUUAAAGGGUGCGUAGGCGGCCUUUUAAGUCAGCUGUGAAAGUCUGUGGCUCAACCAUAGAAUUGCCGUUGAAACUGGGGGGCGUGAGUAUGUUUGAGGAAGGCGGAAUGCGUGGUGUAGCGGUGAAAUGCUUAGAUAUCACGCAGAACUCCGAUUGCGAAGGCAGCAUACAAAGCCAUGACUGACGCUGAUGCACGAAAGCGUGGGGAUCAAACAGGAUUAGAUACCCGUGUAGUC
RNAcentral lists this ribosomal RNA (460 nucleotides) under uncultured bacterium. RNAcentral's name for it is "partial 16S ribosomal RNA". It matches the Rfam family "Bacterial small subunit ribosomal RNA", at positions 338 to 795 of the family's 1533-position model. The record is from RNAcentral.